UACAGAGGUCUCAAGCGUUGUUCGGAUUCAUUGGGCGUAAAGGGUGCGUAGGCGGCGCGGUAAGUCGGGUGUGAAAUCUCGGAGCUUAACUCCGAAACUGCAUUCGAUACUGUCGUGCUUGAGGACUGGAGAGGAGACUGGAAUUUACGGUGUAGCGGUGAAAUGCGUAGAUAUCGUAAGGAAGACCAGUGGCGAAGGCGGGUCUCUGGACAGUUCCUGACGCUGAGGCGCGAAAGCUAGGGGAGCAAACAGG
RNAcentral lists this ribosomal RNA (253 nucleotides) under uncultured bacterium. Its description in RNAcentral is "partial 16S ribosomal RNA". It matches the Rfam family "Bacterial small subunit ribosomal RNA", at positions 524 to 776 of the family's 1533-position model. The record is from RNAcentral.